This 67-nucleotide transfer RNA is filed under the name human gut metagenome. It matches the Rfam family "tRNA". Rfam says of the family: Transfer RNA (tRNA) molecules are approximately 80 nucleotides in length. Their secondary structure includes four short double-helical elements and three loops (D, anti-codon, and T loops). Further hydrogen bonds mediate the characteristic L-shaped molecular structure. tRNAs have two regions of fundamental functional importance: the anti-codon, which is responsible for specific mRNA codon recognition, and the 3' end, to which the tRNAs corresponding amino acid is attached (by aminoacyl-tRNA synthetases). tRNAs cope with the degeneracy of the genetic code in two manners: having more than one tRNA (with a specific anti-codon) for a particular amino acid; and 'wobble' base-pairing, i.e. permitting non-standard base-pairing at the 3rd anti-codon position. The record is from RNAcentral.
GGGGUAGAGCAGUGGUUAGCUCGUCAGGCUCAUAACCUGGAGGCCGUAGGUUCAAAUCCUAUCCCCG